GUCUGUGUCAAUCACAAACAGCGGCGAUUUUUACCUGGCCGAAGGGGGAUCAGCAUGAACCCCUAUGUGGGUUUGGUGAGCAGCCUGCGCGCUGCCUGGCUUACGGGGAAGACACGCGCAGCUGAGCACCGGGUCUCCCAGCUGGAGGCGCUGCGCCGCUUCCUGGAUGAGAAGAAACAGCCCAUCCUGGAUGCCAUGGCCUCGGACAUGCGCAAGCCCUCCUUCGAGGUGGAGCUCUCUGAGAUUAUCAUGGUCAAGAACGAGGUCAACUACGCGCUCAACAACCUGUCCAGCUGGAUGAAGGACAAGGGUGUGGACAAGAACCUGGUGACUCAGCUGGACACGGCCUUCAUCCGGAAGGAGCCCUAUGGAGUGGUGCUGAUCAUUGGGCCCUGGAACUACCCCUUGCAGCUCAUUCUGGUGCCCCUGGUUGGGGCCAUUGUGGCCGGGAACUGUGUGAUCAUCAAACCAUCCGAGAUCUGCAGCAGCUCUGAGAAGCUCCUGGCUGAGACGCUGCCCAGCUACCUGGACAAGGACUGCUUUGCUGCGGUGACCGGGGGCCCUGCAGAGAUGACUCAGCUGCUGGAAAACAAGUUUGACUACAUCUUCUUCACGGGCAGCCCCCAAGUGGGCAAGAUAGUGAUGGCAGCUGCGGCCAAGCACCUGACGCCGCUGACGCUGGAGCUGGGGGGCAAGAACCCCUGCUACGUGGCCGAUGAGAGCGACCUGCAGAACGUGGCCAACCGGCUGGUCUGGGGGCGCUGCUUCAACGCGGGACAGACCUGCGUCGCGCCCGACUACGUGCUGUGCAGCGUAGAGACGCAGGAGAAGCUGCUGCUCGCCCUGCGCCACGCCAUCACCCAGUUCUUCGGCCCCGAGCCCCGGGAGUCGCCCGACUUCGCCCGCAUCAUCAGUGACAAGCAGUUCCAGCGCAUCCGGGCCCUGCUGGGCAGCGGGCGUGUAGCCAUCGGGGGGCAGACGGACGAGAGGGAUCGCUACAUCGCCCCCACGGUGCUGGCGGAUGUGCAGCCGUCAGACCCUGCCAUGCAGGAGGAGAUCUUCGGGCCUGUCCUGCCUAUCGUCACCGUGCCCAACGUGGACGAAGCCAUCGCCUUCAUCAACCGCCGGGAGCGGCCACUGGCAGUGUACGUCUUCGCCUCCGACAGCAAGCUGGUGCGUCGGGUGCUGGAGCGGACGAGCAGUGGCGGUUUUGGUGCCAACGACACCAUAAUGCAGAUGACGCUAAUCUCGCUGCCCUUCGGUGGGAUUGGGAACAGUGGGCUGGGCUCGUACCACGGCAAGUUCAGCUUUGACACCUUCUCUCACCACCGCGCCUGCCUCCUGCGCAGCCUGGGCCUGGAGACCGUGAACGCCCUGCGCUACCCACCCUACAGCGAGCGCAAAAUGGGGCUGGUGCUCUCCACCUUCAGGAUCAAUCGCACGGGCACCUGCAUCCUGCUGUGACGGGAGGGUCGGCCCAGCCCGGCCACCCAGCAUCACACAACCCAUGUGUUGCCUGACUGCCAUGGGGGAGAGGAGCAGCUGGCUUGAGUCCCCCAGCUGACCUAGGAAAUCUGACACCCCCGCCUUCCACAGAUUAAAGACACUCUCCAGCCUUCCUCUUUCCCCCACUGACGAUGGAAGAAAAUGAUCUGGAAUAUUUAAGCACUGGCUUGGCCUCGUCAGCACUGGUUCUCUACUCUGCUGACCCUGUCCGCCAGAUCUCCCUUGACUCCACCUCCAGAACAAGACCUGAUUUCACGAGAGCAGGGUUGCCUGCUGCAUCCCAAUGUGGCGGCUUUUCAUCAUGUGCUAUGGACACUCCAUGGUUGACUCCGCAGGAAGCCGACUGUUCGAGAACGUGCAAAACGUUCUCUUAAAUAGCAGAAAGCCUUGUGCCUAGAUACAUUUACCUGUUAACAUGGAAGCGGUUCUCCUCGUGGUCUCAGAAUAAGAACGUGUUCUGGACUGUUUGUUCCGCCUGAAACAAGAAGUCCUGGAUGUUAGUUCCGUCAGAGCUCACUAGCAGCUCUCUCUGCUUUCCAGCCUCAAAGUGCAGGUCGCUCAGGAUUUUCCAAUUGCACGUAAGUUAGGUACUUGACGGAUCUGGAUAGACUCUCUCCGCAGGUGGCAGAUUUAAUCCUUGGAAUUUCAAUCUACUGUUAUCAGGGUCGAGUGUCCAACCUUUGAAUGAAUGGCUGCCUGAUCUUUACUUCAUCUUUCCACGAAAGGGGUGUUUGGGGUAGGAAUUACUCUGUGAGAAGAGUGGGGGAGUAUGAGCCUUGGUAGCUGACCCUCCUUACCGUACCAUUUAGGCUGAGAGGAGAGCCCUAACUAAGGGCAGGACAGGAGCGGCGUCUACAAAACCAGGGGGCUGGUAGCAGAAAGAGGCUGCAGGGAGGAGAGCUGCAGUCACUGUCCCUGGGGUAAGGGAGAGAAAGGGGCAUUGGCCCCAAGAGGAAGGGUCUGUCUAGUAGACCAGAAGGACAUAAGGGUUUAGCUAGGAUGGACAAUGCAAGCCUGGGAUAGGCAAGGUAGGGAGUAGUCUAGGGAUGAGGCAGGAAGGUUUGGGGUAGUUGCUGGAGAUAGGACCCCUGGACUGGAACCCAGAAUAGAGGGUGGGCCUGGGUUCCCCUACAGCCCCUGAAAGAGUGGCAUGAUCUGGGCAGUGAUCGUGAAGACCGUCUGGGAAGGUUCAUCCCAGUCACUGAGGGAGUGUGGCUCAGCCAGGAGUGUGCCUAGGAUGCUGUGGAGGACUUUGUAGAACCUCGGAAGGGGAGGACCAUUGUGUACUUGGUUGGAGGGCUAAGCCCUGAAGACGAGGCACUGCAGCUCCUGAGGAGCAAGAGAGGGGCCCCAGAGCAAGACAGGCCAAGGAACAGCAAGAAGAGGGUGUCUGGCUGAAAGAGCUAAGCCCCAGAGGUGACUGGCAAACCCAAUGACAGCAGCAGAACUGGAUGCAGGAUUCCAGCAGCAGUCACCCCAGUGCCGAAUAUACAGGUAAAAUCAUCUCUCUCUCUCCUACUCCAGAUUCCUGUUUAUGCAUCCCAGAAUCCCAUUAGCCCUUUUGGCUGCAGCCUUGCACUGGGAUCUCAUGUUCAGGUGAUUAUCCUUCACAACCCCCAAGUCUUUCACAGACUCACUGCUUCCCAGGACAGAGUCCUCCAUCCUGCAGGUGCGGCCAAUAUUCCUUGUUCCUAGAUGUAUACAUUUAUGUUUAGCCAUAUUCAAAUGAAUCUGGUUUGCUUGAAACCUGUAUCAGUGACCUGUAAUCUUCAUUAUUUACCACUUCCCUAAUCUUUGCAUCAUCUGCAAACUUUAUCAGCAAUGAUUUUGUUUUCUUCCAAGUUGUUGAUAAAAAUGUUAAAUACCAUAGGGCCAAAAACUGAACCCUGGGUGACCCCCCACUAGAAACACACUCGUUCAAUGAUGUUUUCCCAUUUAUAAUUACAUUUUGAGAUAUGGCACUUAGCCAGUUUUUAAUCCAUUUAGCAUGUGACAUGUUAAUUUUGUAUUAUGCUAGCUUUUAAUCAAAAUAUGAUACCAAGUGAAAUGCCUUACAGAAGUCUAUUACACCAAUACUAUCAUCUUUAUCAGCGAAACGUGUAAUCUCAUAAAAAAGAUAUUAGGUUGGUUUGUCAGGAUCUAUUUUGCAUAACCCUAUGUUGACGGACAGUUAUUACAUUGCCCUCUUUUUAUUCUUUAUUAAUUUGUUCCUGUAUCAGCUGCUUCAUUAUCUUGUCCAGGAUUGAUGUUAGACUGACAGGCCUAUAAUUACCCAGAUUAUCCAGUUUAAUUAUUGGCACAACAUUCACUUUCUUCCAGUCUUCCGGGGCAUCCCCAAUUUUCUGAGAUGUAUUCAACAUCAUUAAUGGUCCAGCAGUUCCUCAGUCCACUCUUUUAAAACUCUUGGAUGGAAGUUAUCCAGGCCUGCUGAUUUAAAAAUGUCUAAUUGUGGUAGCUGCUGUUUAAAAUCCUGCUGAGAUACUAGUUGAAUGGAAAGAGUCAUCAUCAUAUUUUACAACUACAUCAUACAGCUUUUUCCCAAAUACAGAACUGAAAUAUUUACAGAACACUUUUGUUAUUUCUGGCAUUAUUAUUGAUCAUUCUAUUUCCAUCUAGUAAUGGACUGAUAACAUGUUAUGGUUCUUUUUGUUUCUAGUAUAUUUUAAAAACGUAUUGUCCUUAACUCUCUUGGCAAUAGAUUUUUUUUCCCUUGGGUCAUAGAUUCAUAGAUUCUAGGGUCAGAAGGGACCAAUGUGAUCAUCUAGUCCGACCCCCUAUCAGUUUUCUACUAUUCCUAGCUUAUGAUUUCUAUCCAUUACUAUCAACCUGCCUUGUCUUCCAUUUCUUAAAAUAUAUAUAUAUAUUUUGAUUAAUUACUGACUUCAGUUUCCUCUAAGUUAGGUUGGUUUUUUAGCCAGUGUGGUCUUUCUUGAUUGUGACGACUUUGGGUAUCUAGUGAAACGUUUUUAAACAAUUCCUAAAUCUCAUUCCAAAUGGUUUUUAAUGGAGGGACAAGGACUGGGGUGUGAUUGUGGCUAGGCAAGGCAGGACGAGUGAGGCAAUGGGGGUUGUCUGGCGGGGUGGAGGGGGAUGGGUGAGGUGAUGGGGGCUGUUUUUUGCUAGGCAGGGGGGAUGAGCGAGGCACUUUGUGUCCUCAUCUAUGGAGAACAGUCCUGGCCCCACUGGACACUGCCAUUGCACAUGGGAGCAUGUGCCCAUCUAAAGUGGAAUACGCUGGCCCAGCAGCUGUAGGAGCAGUUCCUGGUGGGUCAGUUCCAGUUCGUCUCGCUGUUCCACUUUUCUUUUCAUCUCACUUGUGGAACUGGCCCAACACAAACGUCUUCAUGUGCAAUAAAAAGGGAAGGGGUUUCCUAAACAGUCUUUGGACCUGGGCUGCUGAGCCCAAGCUAGGAGCAUAAAGGUUGCGGGGGGCAGCCACAGCGGAGGGACCCACCCUUGUCCCAUGGCAUUCGCUAUUUGCCAGGCCCAGGGACGUGGGUUUUGGUUUGGCCCCGAGGAGGAGCGUGUGGCCGAGGGGCUAUGUCUGCACAUACGCGGACAGCGAUGUGGCACAGUCAGUCUGCACGACAGGGCUCAGCCAGUCUGUGCCUCUGGGCACCUGGGGGUUACUCCCAGCUCUGCCAUGGGGAACCUGGGUUUGCAGCUGGCCCUGCUAAGGAAUUCCACACCCCCACUGCCCAGAGGCACUGAGCUGUGGCCAUGGGGAAGAACAGAGGGAUGGGGCCCUUGGAGCUGGCUUGGGCCACUUGCAGUGAAGGACUUGAAAAUUAAUUCACACCUUGAAUUUAGUCCACUGGGGCCACCCACAGCCCCCUCUUAUCCCAGCCCUGGGCUCCCGCCACAGCUCUUCCAAAAUCCUGCAAUCCUUCCCCUCAGCCCCCUGCUGUCCCAGCCCUGGGCUCCUCCUACCCCCAGCUGUGCCAGUGCCCCUCAAU
Gopherus evgoodei (Goodes thornscrub tortoise) is the source of this 5462-nucleotide RNA transcript. It is a transcript of the gene named aldehyde dehydrogenase family 3 member B1-like, with no coding region annotated. NCBI's taxonomy places the organism in Eukaryota, Metazoa, Chordata, Testudines, Testudinidae. The transcript has 11 exons. The record is from RefSeq and is a predicted model, not a curated record.